CAGCUCUUGUUGUUUCCUGGCUGUCUUGGCACAGUGGUGGUAAUAUUUAAUCAGUUACUGAAUAGCAUUUAUGAAGACUUUCAAGUUUUACAGAGUGUGGUACUUGCUACAGUCAUCCCUACGGCAUCAGCAGUUAAGGGUCUCUCUGGAGCGUGUGCCUGAAAAAUGGUGUUCGUCCAGGAUUUCUCUGUUGUUUGUAAUUGCACAUUAUAGUUCUGCCCUGAUCUUUGUGGUCAUGGCAGUGAAUUGAUUGACAGCUUUCUGUUGAGUCAGUGAAUGUCACCAAUGAAGGCCCUUUUAGCUGCUUGACACAGAGAACUUAGACACCUUAUGGUCUCAAGAAUUUGAAGAACUUUUGGAAGUACUUAUACCUGGAAUCAAGAUGGC
Long non-coding RNA from Vidua chalybeata, 387 nucleotides. RefSeq lists it as uncharacterized. Lineage: Eukaryota; Metazoa; Chordata; Aves; Passeriformes; Viduidae. The transcript is spliced from 3 exons. The record is from RefSeq and is a predicted model, not a curated record.